UGGCUGCAUCGUAUUCGCUCGUAGGCGAA
This 29-nucleotide small RNA is filed under the name Bombyx mori (domestic silkworm). RNAcentral's name for it is "ovarian small RNA-34936". The record is from RNAcentral. Lineage: Eukaryota; Metazoa; Arthropoda; Insecta; Lepidoptera; Bombycidae.